GCAAACUUGGUCAUUUAGAGGAAGUAAAAGUCGUAACAAGGUCUCCGUUGGUGAACCAGCGGAGGGAUCAUUACCGAGUUCUCUGCAACUCCCAACCCUGUGAACCAUACCAAACUCUGUUCUCGUUGCUUUCUGGCGGGCGGCCUGCCCGCCUGCCAGGGGCGACUUGCGCAAACCUUCUUUUUAUUUUCGUACCUGAACCGUCUGAGCACGAUUUUUUACAAAUCAAAUCAAAACUUUCAACAACGGAUCUCUUGGCUCUGGCAUCGAUGAAGAACGCAGC
Molecule: unclassified non-coding RNA, 283 nt
Filed under: uncultured fungus
Lineage: Eukaryota; Fungi
Description: partial contains small subunit ribosomal RNA, internal transcribed spacer 1, and 5.8S ribosomal RNA
Rfam family: Eukaryotic small subunit ribosomal RNA (bases 1-73)
Source: RNAcentral